RNAcentral lists this ribosomal RNA (468 nucleotides) under uncultured bacterium. RNAcentral's name for it is "partial 16S ribosomal RNA". It matches the Rfam family "Bacterial small subunit ribosomal RNA", at positions 28 to 507 of the family's 1533-position model. The record is from RNAcentral.
GACGAACGCUGGCGGCGUGCUUAACACAUGCAAGUCGAACGGAAAGGCCCUGCUUUUGUGGGGUGCUCGAGUGGCGAACGGGUGAGUAACACGUGAGUAACCUGCCCUUGACUUUGGGAUAACUUCAGGAAACUGGGGCUAAUACCGGAUAGGAGCUCCUGCUGCAUGGUGGGGGUUGGAAAGUUUCGGCGGUUGGGGAUGGACUCGCGGCUUAUCAGCUUGUUGGUGGGGUAGUGGCUUACCAAGGCUUUGACGGGUAGCCGGCCUGAGAGGGUGACCGGCCACAUUGGGACUGAGAUACGGCCCAGACUCCUACGGGAGGCAGCAGUGGGGAAUAUUGCACAAUGGGCGGAAGCCUGAUGCAGCAACGCCGCGUGCGGGAUGACGGCCUUCGGGUUGUAAACCGCUUUCGCCUGUGGCGAAGCGUGAGUGACGGUAAUGUGUAAAGAAGCACCGGCUAACUACGUG